GGUUUAGACCCACGGCGAACGGGUGAGUAAUACCUAGGAACAUCCCACAAGUCGAGCAUAUCCAGCCGAAAGGUUGUGCAAUUCUCGAUGUGAAGGAAACUUCAAAGCAGCAAUGCGCUUGUGGUGUGGCCUGGGCACCAUCAGCUAGUUGGUAAGGUAAUGGCUUACCAAGGCUAUGACGGUUAGGGGGCCCGAGAGGGUGAACCCCCACACUGGGACUGCGAUACGGCCCAGACUCCUACGGGAGGCAGCAGUUCGGAAUAUUCCGCAAUGGGCGAAAGCCUGACGGAGCGACGCCGCGUGCACGAUGAAGGCCUUCGGGUUGUAAAGUGCUUUUGCUAGGGAACAAUAUUUUGAGCGUACCUAGAGAAUAAGAGGUUGCUAACUCUGUGCCAGCAGCAGCGGUAAUACAGAGACCUCAAACGUUAUCCGGAAUCAUUGGGCGUAAAGCGUACCGACAGGUGGUCUUACAAGUCAGAGGUUAAAUCCUGGAGCUUACCUCCAGAAUCGCUUUUGAAACUGUAAGACUAGAGGGGCAAAGAGGAAGCUGGAACAAACGGUGUAGCAGUGAAAUGCGUUGAUAUCGUUUGGAACACCGAUAGCGAAGGCGGGCUUCUGGGUGCCACCUGACACUGCUAGGACGAAAGCGUGGGUAGCGAAUGGGAUUAGAUACCCCAGUAGUCCACGCUGUAAACGAUGCGCACUCGCCGCUAGGGAGUAUCGACCCUCCUUGGUGGCUAAGCUAACGCGGUAAGUGCGCCGCCUGGGGACUACGGCCGCAAGGCUAAAACUCAAAGGAAUUGACGGGGACCCGCACAAGCGGUGGAGCAUGUGGUUUAAUUCGACGCUAAGCGAGGAACCUUACCAAGAUUUGACAUGUAGCUGCAAGCCCAAGAAAUUGGGCCGCCCUCGAGGGUGCUACACAGGUGUUGCACGGUUGUCGUCAGCUCGUGCCGUGAGGUGUUCACUUAAGUGUGAAAACGAGCGCAACCCCUGCCCCGAUUUACAAGUGUAUCGGGGGACUGCCCGGGUCUAACCGGGAGGAAGGCGGGGAUGACGUCAAAUCAGCGUGAUCCUUACAUCUUGGGCCACACACGUGCUACAAUGGGGAGCAACAAUGGGACGCCAAACCGCAAGGUGGAGCAAAUCCCAACAAACCUCCCCCCAGUUCGGAUUGAGGGCUGCAACUCGCCCUCAUGAAGCCGGAAUCGCUAGUAACCGCAAAUCAGCCUCGUUGCGGUGAAUACGUUCUCGGG
RNAcentral lists this ribosomal RNA (1256 nucleotides) under uncultured bacterium. RNAcentral's name for it is "bacterial SSU rRNA". It matches the Rfam family "Bacterial small subunit ribosomal RNA", at positions 84 to 1378 of the family's 1533-position model. The record is from RNAcentral.